This 344-nucleotide ribosomal RNA is filed under the name Hepatozoon sp. RNAcentral describes it as "SSU rRNA". It matches the Rfam family "Eukaryotic small subunit ribosomal RNA", at positions 285 to 623 of the family's 1831-position model. The record is from RNAcentral. Lineage: Eukaryota; Apicomplexa; Hepatozoidae.
UGGCGAUAAAUCAUUCAAGUUUCUGACCUAUCAGCUUUCGACGGUAUGGUAUUGGCUUACCGUGGCAGUGACGGUUAACGGGGGAUUAGGGUUCGAUUCCGGAGAGGGAGCCUGAGAAACGGCUACCACAUCUAAGGAAGGCAGCAGGCGCGCAAAUUACCCAAUUCUAAUAGCAAAAGAGAGGUAGUGACAAGAAAUAACAGUACAAGGCAGUUAAAAUGCUUUGUAAUUGGAAUGAUAGAAAUUUAAAUACUUUUUAAAGUAUCAAUUGGAGGGCAAGUCUGGUGCCAGCAGCCGCGGUAAUUCCAGCUCCAAUAGCGUAUAUUAAAAUUGUUGCAGUUAAA